CAAUAGCGUAUAUUAAAGUUGUUGCAGUUAAAAAGCUCGUAGUUGGAUUUGUGGUGUACUUCGGCGGCCCGUCACUAUGUGAUGGAGCUUGCUGAAGUCGCCAUCCUUGGGUGGAUCCUGUGUGGCAUUAAGUUGUCGUGCAGGGGAUGCCCAUCGUUUACUGUGAAAAAAUUAGAGUGUUCAAAGCAGGCUUAUGCCGUUGAAUAUAUUAGCAUGGAAUAAUAAGAUAGGACCUUGGUACUAUUUUGUUGGUUUGCGCACCAAGGUAAUGAUUAAUAGGGACAGUUGGGGGUAUUCGUAUUUCAUUGUCAGAGGUGAAAUUCUUGGAUUUAUGAAAGACGAACUUCUGCGAAAGCAUUUGCCAAGGAUGUUUUCAUUAA
Molecule: ribosomal RNA, 380 nt
Filed under: uncultured eukaryote
Lineage: Eukaryota
Description: partial 18S ribosomal RNA
Rfam family: Eukaryotic small subunit ribosomal RNA
Source: RNAcentral